AGAGUUUGAUCCUGGCUCAGGAUGAACGCUGGCGGCGUGCCUAACACAUGCAAGCCGAGCGGAGAUAUUGAGGGAUUCUUUUAGAUGAUCUCCUUAUCUUAGCGGCGGAUGGGUGAGUAACACGUGGGUAACCUGCCCUGCACAGGGGGAUAACAGCUGGAAACGGCUGUUAAUACCGCAUAUGCACACGCUGCCGCAUGGCAGAGGGUGGAAAGAUUUAUCGGUGCAGGAUGGGCCCGCGUCGGAUUAACUAGUUGGCAGGGUAACGGCCUACCAAGGUUAUGAUCCGUAGCCGACCUGAGAGGGUGACCGGCCACAUUGGGACUGAGACACGGCCCAAACUCCUACGGGAGGCAGCAGUGGGGGAUAUUGCACAAUGGGCGGAAGCCUGAUGCAGCGACGCCGCGUGAAGGAAGAAGUAUUUCGGUAUGUAAACUUCUAUCAGCGGGGAAGAAGAUGACGGUACCCGACUAAGAAGCCCCGGCUAACUACGUGCCAGCAGCCGCGGUAAUACGUAGGGGGCAAGCGUUAUCCGGAUUUACUGGGUGUAAAGGGAGCGUAGACGGCAGGGCAAGUCCGAUGUGAAAACCCGGGGCUCAACCGCGGGAUUGCAUUGGAAACUGCUCGGCUCGAGUACUGGAGGGGUAAGCGGAAUUCCUAGUGUAGCGGUGAAAUGCGUAGAUAUCAGGAAGAAUACCAGUGGCGAAGGCGGUCUGCUGGCUGCGAACUGACGCUCAAGCGCGAAAGCCAGGGGAGCAAACGGGAUUAGAUACCCCGGUAGUCCUGGCAGUAAACGAUGUAUGCUGGGUGUGAGAUCAGCGAUGAUUUCGUGCCGAAGUUAACGCGAUAAGCAUACCGCCUGGGGAGUACGGUCGCAAGAUUGAAACUCAAAGGAAUUGACGGGGGCCCGCACAAGCGGUGGAGCACGUGGUUUAAUUCGAUGCAAACCGAAGAACCUUACCUAGGCUUGACAUGUAGGUGGUAGGGAAGGGAAACCGGACCGACGCUGUAGCAAUACAGCGAGCCUACACAGGUGCUGCAUGGCUGUCGUCAGCUCGUGUCGUGAGAUGUUGGGUUAAGUCCCGCAACGAGCGCAACCCCUAUUGCCAGUUGCUAACACGUAAUGGUGAGCACUCUGGCGAGACUGCCAUCGACAAGAUGGAGGAAGGUGGGGACGACGUCAAGUCAUCAUGGCCCCUAUGCCUAGGGCGACACACAUGCUACAAUGGUUGGUACAAAGGGCAGCGAGUUCGAGAGGACAAGCGAAUCCCCAAAAGCCAAUCCCAGUUCGGAUCGCAGUCUGCAACUCGACUGCAUGAAGUUGGAAUCGCUAGUAAUCGCGGAUCAGCCAAGCCGCGGUGAAUACGUUCCCGGGCCUUGUACACACCGCCCGUCACACCAUCCGAGUCGGGUGCUCUCAAAGCCGGUGGUCUAACCGCAAGGAAGAAGCCGUCUAAAGAGUGUCCGGUGAGAAGGGUGAAGUCGUAACAAGGUAACC
This 1498-nucleotide ribosomal RNA is filed under the name uncultured rumen bacterium. Its description in RNAcentral is "bacterial SSU rRNA". It matches the Rfam family "Bacterial small subunit ribosomal RNA". The record is from RNAcentral.